GCCAGGACUUGAACGCGGAUACCUUCGAAGGAGGAUGGUGCGGAACAAGGUUGGGGGAUUAGGAGAAAGUUGGUUUUCAAAAGGAUAAGGCCAGCUUCCUGCCGGAUCUACAGCUGUUUUACGACCCGAAUGGGACGCCGUGUAUGCGGAUGUGAAUUUGCACCGGUUGUAUUCGGUGGUGGUGGCCCGGGGUGGGUAGACGAGAUUGAAGUUGGAGCAGGUUAAUGCAUCCGCUUUCUGAACAAGUACGAUAAAGUAAAUUUUAUCGGUGAGGAGAAGGAUCCGACGGAAGAGAGAAGCGAUCGGAGGUGGUCAGCGCGGAUGUUGCACUCGGUGCCGGCGGUUUACGACCACCAGCAGCAUUAUGUGCCGGAAGUGAUGACGGGACACUGUGGGAUGUCCUGAGGGUCCGCAGUCUAUUUCUCGGUGCGGGACAUGUUUGACGAGUAUUACCGAGUAAAGCCGCAGGUCCUGAAGCUGUCGUACUCGGAUUACUUCUAGAGGUUGGAGCGAUAUCCGACGAACCUGAUCAAGAACAUCUAUCUGGAAUACCGAAGAAUUCACCGCAACUCCCGCCCGCAAACGCUCAACUCGCGACUGCGCAGCUUCGGCCGGAUGAACUGGCAACAUCUCUGUCAUUCUCGAAGGAUGACCAAGUGAUCUGGAACUAUCGGUUCAGGCGCUUCACUACCCAGUCGGAAAACG
Culex pipiens pallens (northern house mosquito) is the source of this 705-nucleotide long non-coding RNA. RefSeq lists it as uncharacterized. The record is from RefSeq and is a predicted model, not a curated record. The transcript is spliced from 3 exons. Lineage: Eukaryota; Metazoa; Arthropoda; Insecta; Diptera; Culicidae.